GCCGAAGUGGCGGAAUUGGUAGACGCAGUAGACUCAAAAUCUACCGGGCUUACGCCCGUGUCGGUUCGAGUCCGACCUUCGGCA
This 84-nucleotide transfer RNA is filed under the name Leptospiraceae bacterium. RNAcentral's name for it is "tRNA-Leu". It matches the Rfam family "tRNA". From Rfam's summary of the family: Transfer RNA (tRNA) molecules are approximately 80 nucleotides in length. Lineage: Bacteria; Pseudomonadati; Spirochaetota; Leptospiria; Leptospirales; Leptospiraceae. The record is from RNAcentral.